This 465-nucleotide ribosomal RNA is filed under the name Vreelandella stevensii. RNAcentral describes it as "partial 16S ribosomal RNA". It matches the Rfam family "Bacterial small subunit ribosomal RNA", at positions 338 to 795 of the family's 1533-position model. Lineage: Bacteria; Pseudomonadati; Pseudomonadota; Gammaproteobacteria; Oceanospirillales; Halomonadaceae. The record is from RNAcentral.
CCUACGGGUGGCUGCAGUGGGGAAUAUUGGACAAUGGGGGGAACCCUGAUCCAGCCAUGCCGCGUGUGUGAAGAAGGCCCUCGGGUUGUAAAGCACUUUCAGUGAGGAAGAACGCCUGGUGGUUAAUACCCAUCAGGAAAGACAUCACUCACAGAAGAAGCACCGGCUAACUCCGUGCCAGCAGCCGCGGUAAUACGGAGGGUGCGAGCGUUAAUCGGAAUUACUGGGCGUAAAGCGCGCGUAGGUGGCUUGAUAAGCCGGUUGUGAAAGCCCCGGGCUCAACCUGGGAACGGCAUCCGGAACUGUCAAGCUAGAGUGCAGGAGAGGAGGGUAGAAUUCCCGGUGUAGCGGUGAAAUGCGUAGAGAUCGGGAGGAAUACCAGUGGCGAAGGCGGCCUUCUGGACUGACACUGACACUGAGGUGCGAAAGCGUGGGUAGCAAACAGGAUUAGAUACCCGGGUAGUC